Molecule: long non-coding RNA, 314 nt
Organism: Silurus meridionalis
Lineage: Eukaryota; Metazoa; Chordata; Actinopteri; Siluriformes; Siluridae
Exons: 3
Source: RefSeq, a predicted model, not a curated record
UGAGUGCCGCUUUAGUGAUGAACAAAGCUUCAUUAUCCUGGAGUUCCUCUGCUCCAGAUAGAUCUGAAAGUCCACUGAUUGCAGCUAACAGGGUUAAGAGUGAUACAAAUCUACAAGACACGAAAUUAACACUACAGAACAUCACAUUUACUCUUUUCAAGGGAAAUUUGCUUGGAGUUUGUGGCAAUGUUGGAAGUGGAAAAACAUCACUGAUAUCAAGCAUACUUGAGCAGAUGCAUCUUCAGAGUGGAUCGAUCUCUGUAAAUGGAACAUUAGCCUAUGUUUCCCAACAAGCCUGGAUCUUUCAUGCAACU